This 510-nucleotide ribosomal RNA is filed under the name uncultured bacterium. RNAcentral's name for it is "partial 16S ribosomal RNA". It matches the Rfam family "Bacterial small subunit ribosomal RNA", at positions 28 to 507 of the family's 1533-position model. The record is from RNAcentral.
GACGAACGCUGGCGGCGUGCUUAACACAUGCAAGUCGAACGAAGAGCGAUGGAAGCUUGCUUCUAUCACUCUUAGUGGCGAACGGGUGAGUAACGCGUAAUCAACCUUCCCUUCAGAGGGGGACAACAGUUGGAAACGACUGCUAAUACCGCAUACGAUCUAAUCUCUGCAUCGAGGAUAGAUUAAAGGUGGCCUCUACAUGUAAGCUCUCACUGGAGGAGGGGAUUGCGUCUGAUUAGCUAGUUGGAGGGGUAACGGCCCACCAAGGCGAUGAUCAGUAGCCGGUCUGAGAGGAUGAACGGCCACAAUGGGACUGAGAAACGGCCCAGACUCCUACGGGAGGCAGCAGUGGGGAAUCUUCCGCAAUGGACGAAAGUCUGACGGAGCAACGACGCGUGAGUGAUGACGGCCUUCGGGUUGUAAAGACCUGUUAAUCGGGACGAAAGGCCUUCUUGCGAAUAGUGAGAAGGAUUGACGGUACCGGAAGAGAAAGCCACGGCUAACUACGUG